Molecule: ribosomal RNA, 483 nt
Filed under: uncultured bacterium
Lineage: Bacteria
Description: partial 16S ribosomal RNA
Rfam family: Bacterial small subunit ribosomal RNA
Source: RNAcentral
GACGAACGCUGGCGGCGUGCUUAACACAUGCAAGUCGAACGCUGAAGCUCAGCUUUUGUUGGGUGGAUGAGUGGCGAACGGGUGAGUAACACGUGAGUAACCUGCCUCCUUCUUUGGGAUAACGCCCGGAAACGGGUGCUAAUACUGGAUAUUCACUGGUCUUCGCAUGGGGGUUGGUGGAAAGGGUUUUUCUGGUGGGGGAUGGGCUCGCGGCCUAUCAGCUUGUUGGUGGGGUGAUGGCCUACCAAGGCUUUGACGGGUAGGCGGCCUGAGAGGGUGACCGGUCACAUUGGGACUGAGAUACGGCCCAGACUCCUACGGGAGGCAGCAGUGGGGAAUAUUGCACAAUGGGCGCAAGCCUGAUGCAGCGACGCCGCGUGAGGGAUGGAGGCCUUCGGGUUGUGAACCUCUUUCGCUCAUGGUCAAGCCGCAACAAUGGUUGUGGUGAGGGUAGUGGGUAAAGAAGCGCCGGCUAACUACGUG